GCUGAGGAAGUGUGCGCGGGACGGGGUAGAGGUAGGGUGCAAGCGGUGUCGGGAGUUAUUGGGGGUAAAGGGCGUGUAGUGGGUCGUUCACGGUGGGUGUGAAAAACCAGUGCUUAACAAGGGGCCUGCAGUCGGUACGGGCAGACUAGAGUUCGGUAGGGGAGACUGGAACUCCUGGUGUAGCGGUGGAAUGCGCAGAUAUCAGGAAGAACACCGAUGGCGAAGGCAGGUCUCUGGGCCGAUACUGACGCUGAGGAGCGAAAGCGUGGGGAGCGAACAGGAUUAGAUACCCGGGUAGUC
This 300-nucleotide ribosomal RNA is filed under the name uncultured Balnearium sp. RNAcentral's name for it is "Uncultured Balnearium sp. partial 16S ribosomal RNA". The stretch from base 52 to 300 matches the Rfam family "Bacterial small subunit ribosomal RNA", at positions 547 to 795 of the family's 1533-position model. Lineage: Bacteria; Pseudomonadati; Aquificota; Aquificia; Desulfurobacteriales; Desulfurobacteriaceae. The record is from RNAcentral.